GGUGGGAUGGCCGAGUGGUCUAAGGCGUUGGAUUUAAGUUCCCAAUGGAGGAAACUCCGCGCGAGUUCGAACCUCGCUUCCACCA
Molecule: transfer RNA, 85 nt
Filed under: Collybiopsis luxurians FD-317 M1
Lineage: Eukaryota; Fungi; Basidiomycota; Agaricomycetes; Agaricales; Omphalotaceae
Description: tRNA-Leu (TAA) (tRNA-Leu-TAA-1-1)
Rfam family: tRNA
About the family: Transfer RNA (tRNA) molecules are approximately 80 nucleotides in length.
Source: RNAcentral